RNAcentral lists this ribosomal RNA (440 nucleotides) under uncultured bacterium. RNAcentral's name for it is "partial 16S ribosomal RNA". It matches the Rfam family "Bacterial small subunit ribosomal RNA", at positions 338 to 795 of the family's 1533-position model. The record is from RNAcentral.
CCUACGGGUGGCAGCAGUGGGGAAUAUUGGACAAUGGGGGAAACCCUGAUCCAGCGACGCCGCGUGAGUGAAGAAGUAUUUCGGUACGUAAAGCUCUAUCAGCAGGAAAGAAAAUGACGGUACCUGACUAAGAAGCCCCGGCUAACUACGUGCCAGCAGCCGCGGUAAUACGUAUGGGGCAAGCGUUAUCCGGAUUUACUGGGUGUAAAGGGAGCGCAGGCGGCCUGCCAAGUCUGGUGUGAAAACCCGGGGCCCAACCCCGGGCCUGCAUUGGAAACUGGCGGGCUGGAGUGUAGGAGGGGCAGGCGGAAUGCCUGGUGUAGCGGUGAAAUGCGUAGAUAUUAGGAGGAACACCGGUGGCGAAGGCGGCCUGCUGGACGAUGACUGACGCUGAGGCUCGAAAGCGUGGGGAGCAAACAGGAUUAGAUACCCGAGUAGUC